AGUCUCAGUUCGGAUCGCAGGCUGCAACCCGCCUGCGUGAAGCCGGAAUUGCUAGUAAUCGCGGAUCAGCAUGCCGCGGUGAAUACGUUCCCGGGCCUUGUACACACCGCCCGUCACACCAUGAGAGCCGGGGGGACCCGAAGUCCGUAGCCUAACCGCAAGGAGGGCGCGGCCGAAGGUAAAACUGGUGAUUGGGGUGAAGUCGUAACAAGGUACC
Molecule: ribosomal RNA, 217 nt
Filed under: uncultured bacterium
Lineage: Bacteria
Description: partial 16S ribosomal RNA
Rfam family: Bacterial small subunit ribosomal RNA
Source: RNAcentral